GCGCAACUGGAUUUAGCUCAGUUGGGAGAGCAUGAGAAUCUUGAUCUCAGGGUUGUGGGUUCAAGCUCCACGUUGGGUG
Non-coding RNA from Podarcis lilfordi (Lilford's wall lizard), 79 nucleotides. The record is from the annotation of a GenBank genome assembly. NCBI's taxonomy places the organism in Eukaryota, Metazoa, Chordata, Lepidosauria, Squamata, Lacertidae.